GUAACCCUACGGGAGGCAGCAGUGAGGAAUAUUGGUCAAUGGGAGGAAUCCUGAACCAGCCAUGCCGCGUGCAGGACGACGGCUCUACGAGUUGUAAACUGCUUUUGUACCGGGGUAAAAUGCCUUACGAGUAGGGUUUUGAAAGUACGGUACGAAUAAGGAUCGGCUAACUCCGUGCCAGCAGCCGCGGUAAUACGGAGGAUCCGAGCGUUAUCCGGAUUCAUUGGGUUUAAAGGGAGCGUAGGCCGGCUUUUAAGUCAGCUGUGAAAGUCCGCGGCUCAACCGUGGAAUUGCAGUUGAAACUG
This 305-nucleotide ribosomal RNA is filed under the name uncultured bacterium. Its description in RNAcentral is "bacterial SSU rRNA". It matches the Rfam family "Bacterial small subunit ribosomal RNA", at positions 333 to 635 of the family's 1533-position model. The record is from RNAcentral.